AGUCUCUCCCUCUCCCACUCAAUUCCCCAUUCCCCCACCGCGUUUCCACCAACCACCAGGGACGGCGAGGGCAAGCUCCGGAGUGGGUGACCACGGCCAGGUGCCAGACGAGCUCCGCGACGGGGCGUCGCGGGCAAGCUCCUCGAGGGGCUGCGAGGGCGAGCUCGGCCAUGGCACGGAGCGGGCGAGCCAGCUAGGGGCGGCGCGGGAGAGAUCCUCCAGGGGCGGCACGGGCGAGGUAUGCCAUAGCCGGCGCGGGCGACCACGGCGAGAUGCUGGCGCCGACGAGCUCCGCGAUGGGGCGGCGCGGGCGAGCUCCUCGAGGGGCGGCGAAGGCGAGCUCGGCCAUGGCGCGGCUGGGCAAGCUCUAGCCGAGGGCGGCCGCGGGCGUGAGCAAGUACGAACAGUUCCCUCCGGCGAAAUUUCCCAUCCAGCCAUGGUGUAUGCGCGUGCAUUGUGUUCAGGUUUUAUGGAUUGGGAAGUGUCUGAAGGUUUAGUUAUUGAAUCCAUUAACAGUUUUGCUUCAUAGCUCUGCAGCCUCUUCAUUGAAAUAACAUAGGUGUUGGUGGAAGGCACUUCAGUUGUAGGAGGCGGGGUUGCACUCUAAGUCAUACAAAAUGGCUAGUAAUAAAGUUCAAAAAGGUCGACGCCUCUGCUUAGAUGCUAGAGGGGCCUAUACUGGUGAGUUUCCAUAUUUUAGCUUUAUUUUAAUGUUGCUUGCCUUCCUUCACUGUUGAGCCCCACGAUGAACAUUGGAUAUUUAAACCUGAUUUGAUAGUUUAGUUUGGCCGUGGGGAUCCAACUGUAUACCCGGAUGUUUGGUACCAUAAUGGACUUUGUUACUGAGAUAUAA
Molecule: long non-coding RNA, 853 nt
Organism: Lolium perenne
Lineage: Eukaryota; Viridiplantae; Streptophyta; Magnoliopsida; Poales; Poaceae
Source: RefSeq, a predicted model, not a curated record